GCUGGUGUAGCUCAAUUAGGCAGAGCAAUUGAUUUGUAAUCAAUAGGUUGAUGGUUCGAUUCCGUUCACCAGCUCCA
This 77-nucleotide transfer RNA is filed under the name Candidatus Limihabitans stercoravium. RNAcentral describes it as "tRNA-Thr". It matches the Rfam family "tRNA". Rfam says of the family: Transfer RNA (tRNA) molecules are approximately 80 nucleotides in length. Their secondary structure includes four short double-helical elements and three loops (D, anti-codon, and T loops). Further hydrogen bonds mediate the characteristic L-shaped molecular structure. tRNAs have two regions of fundamental functional importance: the anti-codon, which is responsible for specific mRNA codon recognition, and the 3' end, to which the tRNAs corresponding amino acid is attached (by aminoacyl-tRNA synthetases). tRNAs cope with the degeneracy of the genetic code in two manners: having more than one tRNA (with a specific anti-codon) for a particular amino acid; and 'wobble' base-pairing, i.e. permitting non-standard base-pairing at the 3rd anti-codon position. The record is from RNAcentral. Lineage: Bacteria; Bacillati; Bacillota; Clostridia; Eubacteriales.